AACCCCGUUUUUGAGCAGGAAGAGACCAGGCAGGACAACAACCACGUUCUUGAGCAGGAAGAGAGCACACCUCAAGCCCAUCACCUGGAAGAGAGAACACAGGACAUUCCUCACCAGGAAGAGACCGCGCAGGACAACAACCUCGUUCUUGAGCAGGAAGAGAGCACACCUCAAGCCCAUCACCUAGAAGAGAGAACACAGGACAACCCUGAU
RNAcentral lists this long non-coding RNA (213 nucleotides) under Hordeum vulgare. Its description in RNAcentral is "long non-coding RNA (HVUL_LNC011541)". Lineage: Eukaryota; Viridiplantae; Streptophyta; Magnoliopsida; Poales; Poaceae. The record is from RNAcentral.